RNAcentral lists this ribosomal RNA (639 nucleotides) under Lactobacillaceae bacterium. RNAcentral's name for it is "bacterial SSU rRNA". It matches the Rfam family "Bacterial small subunit ribosomal RNA", at positions 66 to 678 of the family's 1533-position model. Lineage: Bacteria; Bacillati; Bacillota; Bacilli; Lactobacillales; Lactobacillaceae. The record is from RNAcentral.
GAUGAUUUUAGUGCUUGCACUAAAUGAAACUAGAUACAAGCGAGCGGCGGACGGGUGAGUAACACGUGGGUAACCUGCCCAAGAGACUGGGAUAACACCUGGAAACAGAUGCUAAUACCGGAUAACAACACUAGACGCAUGUCUAGAGUUUGAAAGAUGGUUCUGCUAUCACUCUUGGAUGGACCUGCGGUGCAUUAGCUAGUUGGUAAGGUAACGGCUUACCAAGGCAAUGAUGCAUAGCCGAGUUGAGAGACUGAUCGGCCACAUUGGGACUGAGACACGGCCCAAACUCCUACGGGAGGCAGCAGUAGGGAAUCUUCCACAAUGGACGAAAGUCUGAUGGAGCAACGCCGCGUGAGUGAAGAAGGGUUUCGGCUCGUAAAGCUCUGUUGGUAGUGAAGAAAGAUAGAGGUAGUAACUGGCCUUUAUUUGACGGUAAUUACUUAGAAAGUCACGGCUAACUACGUGCCAGCAGCCGCGGUAAUACGUAGGUGGCAAGCGUUGUCCGGAUUUAUUGGGCGUAAAGCGAGUGCAGGCGGUUCAAUAAGUCUGAUGUGAAAGCCUUCGGCUCAACCGGAGAAUUGCAUCAGAAACUGUUGAACUUGAGUGCAGAAGAGGAGAGUGGAACUCCAUGGGUAA